RNAcentral lists this ribosomal RNA (321 nucleotides) under Triticum aestivum (bread wheat). RNAcentral's name for it is "partial small subunit ribosomal RNA". Lineage: Eukaryota; Viridiplantae; Streptophyta; Magnoliopsida; Poales; Poaceae. The record is from RNAcentral.
AUGAUUUGUAUAGCCUCCUAUAGAGUUCGUAAAUAAGAAAAUGAUCUAUUUGAUACUAUGGAUGACUAGUUACGAGGGGGCCAUUUCGUUUUUGUAGGAUGGUCCAGCCUAUUGCUCUUUCCUUGUGCUUAUUUCAUUUUAGGGGGUUGGUUUAGGGGGACAACUUUUGUAACUUGAAAGUAUACCUAUGGAUUGGCUAGUUCUUAUUUGGAAGGUUGUAAUUUCUUAACUGCAUCAGUUCCUACCCCUGCAAAUUGUUUAUCGACCCUUUGUUGGGGGGUGCGAAAGCACAAGGAGAUUUUACUCGUUAAUGUCGAUUAG